GGUUAAGCGACUAAGCGUACACGGUGGAUGCCCUGGCAGUCAGAGGCGAUGAAGGACGUGCUAAUCUGCGAUAAGCGUCGGUAAGGUGAUAUGAACCGUUAUAACCGGCGAUUUCCGAAUGGGGAAACCCAGUGUGUUUCGACACACUAUCAUUAACUGAAUCCAUAGGUUAAUGAGGCGAACCGGGGGAACUGAAACAUCUAAGUACCCCGAGGAAAAGAAAUCAACCGAGAUUCCCCCAGUAGCGGCGAGCGAACGGGGAGCAGCCCAGAGCCUGAAUCAGUGUGUGUGUUAGUGGAAGCGUCUGGAAAGGCGUGCGAUACAGGGUGACAGCCCCGUACACAAAAAUGCACAUAUUGUGAGCUCGAUGAGUAGGGCGGGACACGUGGUAUCCUGUCUGAAUAUGGGGGGACCAUCCUCCAAGGCUAAAUACUCCUGACUGACCGAUAGUGAACCAGUACCGUGAGGGAAAGGCGAAAAGAACCCCGGCGAGGGGAGUGAAAAAGAACCUGAAACCGUGUACGUACAAGCAGUGGGAGCACGCUUAGGCGUGUGACUGCGUACCUUUUGUAUAAUGGGUCAGCGACUUAUAUUCUGUAGCAAGGUUAACCGAAUAGGGGAGCCGAAGGGAAACCGAGUCUUAACUGGGCGUUAAGUUGCAGGGUAUAGACCCGAAACCCGGUGAUCUAGCCAUGGGCAGGUUGAAGGUUGGGUAACACUAACUGGAGGACCGAACCGACUAAUGUUGAAAAAUUAGCGGAUGACUUGUGGCUGGGGGUGAAAGGCCAAUCAAACCGGGAGAUAGCUGGUUCUCCCCGAAAGCUAUUUAGGUAGCGCCUCGUGAAUUCAUCUCCGGGGGUAGAGCACUGUUUCGGCAAGGGGGUCAUCCCGACUUACCAACCCGAUGCAAACUGCGAAUACCGGAGAAUGUUAUCACGGGAGACACACGGCGGGUGCUAACGUCCGUCGUGAAGAGGGAAACAACCCAGACCGCCAGCUAAGGUCCCAAAGUCAUGGUUAAGUGGGAAACGAUGUGGGAAGGCCCAGACAGCCAGGAUGUUGGCUUAGAAGCAGCCAUCAUUUAAAGAAAGCGUAAUAGCUCACUGGUCGAGUCGGCCUGCGCGGAAGAUGUAACGGGGCUAAACCAUGCACCGAAGCUGCGGCAGCGACACUAUGUGUUGUUGGGUAGGGGAGCGUUCUGUAAGCCUGUGAAGGUGUACUGUGAGGUAUGCUGGAGGUAUCAGAAGUGCGAAUGCUGACAUAAGUAACGAUAAAGCGGGUGAAAAGCCCGCUCGCCGGAAGACCAAGGGUUCCUGUCCAACGUUAAUCGGGGCAGGGUGAGUCGACCCCUAAGGCGAGGCCGAAAGGCGUAGUCGAUGGGAAACAGGUUAAUAUUCCUGUACUUGGUGUUACUGCGAAGGGGGGACGGAGAAGGCUAUGUUGGCCGGGCGACGGUUGUCCCGGUUUAAGCGUGUAGGCUGGUUUUCCAGGCAAAUCCGGAAAAUCAAGGCUGAGGCGUGAUGACGAGGCACUACGGUGCUGAAGCAACAAAUGCCCUGCUUCCAGGAAAAGCCUCUAAGCAUCAGGUAACAUCAAAUCGUACCCCAAACCGACACAGGUGGUCAGGUAGAGAAUACCAAGGCGCUUGAGAGAACUCGGGUGAAGGAACUAGGCAAAAUGGUGCCGUAACUUCGGGAGAAGGCACGCUGAUAUGUAGGUGAAGUCCCUCGCGGAUGGAGCUGAAAUCAGUCGAAGAUACCAGCUGGCUGCAACUGUUUAUUAAAAACACAGCACUGUGCAAACACGAAAGUGGACGUAUACGGUGUGACGCCUGCCCGGUGCCGGAAGGUUAAUUGAUGGGGUCAGCGCAAGCGAAGCUCUUGAUCGAAGCCCCGGUAAACGGCGGCCGUAACUAUAACGGUCCUAAGGUAGCGAAAUUCCUUGUCGGGUAAGUUCCGACCUGCACGAAUGGCGUAAUGAUGGCCAGGCUGUCUCCACCCGAGACUCAGUGAAAUUGAACUCGCUGUGAAGAUGCAGUGUACCCGCGGCAAGACGGAAAGACCCCGUGAACCUUUACUAUAGCUUGACACUGAACAUUGAGCCUUGAUGUGUAGGAUAGGUGGGAGGCUUUGAAGUGUGGACGCCAGUCUGCAUGGAGCCGACCUUGAAAUACCACCCUUUAAUGUUUGAUGUUCUAACGUUGACCCGUGAUCCGGGUUGCGGACAGUGUCUGGUGGGUAGUUUGACUGGGGCGGUCUCCUCCUAAAGAGUAACGGAGGAGCACGAAGGUUGGCUAAUCCUGGUCGGACAUCAGGAGGUUAGUGCAAUGGCAUAAGCCAGCUUGACUGCGAGCGUGACGGCGCGAGCAGGUGCGAAAGCAGGUCAUAGUGAUCCGGUGGUUCUGAAUGGAAGGGCCAUCGCUCAACGGAUAAAAGGUACUCCGGGGAUAACAGGCUGAUACCGCCCAAGAGUUCAUAUCGACGGCGGUGUUUGGCACCUCGAUGUCGGCUCAUCACAUCCUGGGGCUGAAGUAGGUCCCAAGGGUAUGGCUGUUCGCCAUUUAAAGUGGUACGCGAGCUGGGUUUAGAACGUCGUGAGACAGUUCGGUCCCUAUCUGCCGUGGGCGCUGGAGAACUGAGGGGGGCUGCUCCUAGUACGAGAGGACCGGAGUGGACGCAUCACUGGUGUUCGGGUUGUCAUGCCAAUGGCACUGCCCGGUAGCUAAAUGCGGAAGAGAUAAGUGCUGAAAGCAUCUAAGCACGAAACUUGCCCCGAGAUGAGUUCUCCCUGACUCCUUGAGAGUCCUGAAGGAACGUUGAAGACGACGACGUUGAUAGGCCGGGUGUGUAAGCGCAGCGAUGCGUUGAGCUAACCGGUACUAAUGAACCGUGAGGCUUAACCUU
This 2903-nucleotide ribosomal RNA is filed under the name Escherichia coli. Its description in RNAcentral is "23S ribosomal RNA". It matches the Rfam family "Bacterial large subunit ribosomal RNA". Lineage: Bacteria; Pseudomonadati; Pseudomonadota; Gammaproteobacteria; Enterobacterales; Enterobacteriaceae. The record is from RNAcentral.